GUUCUGCCUCCUGCCACUUUCUCAAGGCAGUACUGAAGCUGAAGGGUCCUCAGUGAUUUAUGAUGAAGCACAUAGGAGGAGUAUCAUGCAGUUAUCUGCCUGGAAGGACAGCUUGUCACAGCCCCUGCCUGUAUCUCAAUCACUGGUGAGUUUGAAGAGGCUGACCAAUGGUAUAGGGAUUUUGAAAGAAUUUUCUGCAUACAUUAAAUGACCUGUAGAGAUUUUUAUUGCUUUUCAGCUGUGUAGUAAUUGGGCAGAUCAAUACAGUUGGGAAAGGCAUUACAACAAAGGUGUGAUGACAAAAAGACUGGCACAAUAGAGAGGUGCUCUAAAGGAAAGGAAGAUUGCUCACCCAUAUCAGAAGAUUCCAGGUUUGCAGGGGAAAGCUUCACCAAGGAGGGAUCUCCAACCAGAGAUCCUUCCCUAGUGGCAGUCAACCCUUAAAUGAGGUCUAAGAGAGGUGCAGCCAGGCUCAAUGCCUUCCUGUCACUCAGGUGAAUUGCCUUCACCUGUGCUCCCAGGGCUGACCAGGUCCUUUCCCCAGGUGCUCAAUCAGUGGUUCAGGCCAUGACUCAACAGUUCCCAUACAAGCUGGAAAUUAGAAGUUUACGGGGUUGAAAUGUUAUUUUUAAUGUAGUGAGCUAUUGUGCAACAUCUUCUCCUGCUGUUUGCCCCUUGUCAUGCUCCAGAUCUCCUCUUAUACUCUUUUUGUCUGUGUCAGAAGGGUUUGCGUAUGUAAAUGAUUUGGUUUGCCUUCCUUUUUAUUUAUUUCUUUUAAUAUUUGCCAGAAUUGCUGCACGGCAAAAUUAAUACUCAACCAUCCACUUGUAGUUGGAAAAGGGUCUGAAAUACAUUUUCAGAACAGUAGUGUUUCUGUUGAGUAAAAUUUUUCUUCGAUGUGGUUCACGGAAAGCUGUUGAGUAUAGAGCCCAGUCUGGGCUGGAGGGUCCGAAGCUGAGUAGCUGUGCUGCUGUGGGCGGUGUGGAGCACUGGGGGGCAGCGUUUCACUCACUGCCAGCUUAAGGCAAGCUCUGCAUCUUGCACUCCGGUAUUUCUUUUUUAUUCGUACCCUGUGAAGUGGGGGGAGAGAGAAGAGGAGGAGCAGAGUUUGCUAUCAGAAUCGAUUACAUCUUUUACACUACUAUAUUUCUUUCAAAAAGAGGCUUUGGUCAAUCAUCAGUCUCUUUUUCUAAAUUAUUUUUGAAUUUAUAUACAGAAAAGAGGCACUUUUGCUCUCCUGCUCAUUGUCUUAAACAUUUCUAAUUAUACAUUCAUAUCUCCUUGCCCUGCUUGAACACAGCUAUUCAUACUUACAUGGAGUGUUUCUAACAAGUCACACCCUGUGGCUAGGCAAAUCAUAGAACUGUAGAGAUGGUUGAGGUUGGAAAAGAUCUUCAAGGCCAUUAAGUCCAGUUGUCAACCUGACCUACCAAAUCCUGUCUUUAAACUGCAUCUUUAAAGCCUCAGUAAAAACUGGUUUUAACCAACUGUAUUGAAGUACACAAAUUUUCAGGAAUUCCUCAUUUGGCCAUUCCUUGAAGUUACAUAUGAGAGCAGAAGAACUUGUGUUUUCUUGUGAUUCCACACCUGAAGUUUUUUAGUAACAAAGAGAUCUGAUCAUGGCAAUUAAGUAAUUGUGAGUAUUCUCUUGUUUGUCUACUGACCUGAAAUUUGUGAUGUUCAAAAUGAAACAAAGAAAAGGAGUCUAGGGCAGUAAAUUAAAUGUUCACAUGGAAUUAUUCCGUGCACAUUCUCACUGUAUCUUAUCAGACUUACUAAGUCCUGGAGAGAGUAUGUGGUUGGUAAGCAGCACAUUCAGAGAGUGUGUAGAGCUCCAUAGUGAAAAUGGCACUAACACAUUAUGUUUGAGCCUCUUCUCUGUUCACUCUCUAUAAAAAUAAAACUAAGCCUAAAAUAAAGCAUUUUUCUGCAUGAAGUGUUCCAGCUUCUAAUCAAAAACAGGAUGACAAGAUUCAUCUUUGAAAUUUGAAGUUUGUUAUACACCAAGUACUUCUGUUUCUUCCCCUCCUCCCCCCCCCCCAGGUUUUGCAAAGCCUUGUUUAAUACUGAGAUUGGUUGAAUAAGAAAACAGUCAAUUAAAAUUAUUCUAGUCAAUUAGAAAUUAAUUUUCAUAAAAAUAAGGUUUAAGACAUCAAUAUUUUGAUUAAUUGCAGAUGGAGUACUUCAAUGUCCUCCUAACAGAAGGAGAACAUACUCAUUUGUAUUUGUUGUAGCUCUUUCUGGAGCUAAUGGAAUUUCCUGUUCAUAUCACUACUCAAGUAAUCAAAUAUUGGUCAUUUUAAUGACUACUGCAGUAAUUCACCGGCUUUUCAUUUGUGAACUUUCCUCAGUGUGAUCCUUGGCAGCAGUAUAUUUUGAUGGUUUCUUAUGGUCUUUUUCACUUUGUUUUGUGUACAGUUUUUGCAUGAUAGUUCUGUGUAAUAAAUGCGUUGGUCCUUUUGGAGUGUAGGGACACUUAUGACUGAAGCCCUGUCACGCAAAGCCAAAGAGCUGGGUACAAAUAACUGGAUCUGUAUAAAUGCCAUCUCAGUUCAUUCUUACUAUGGGCCUGCUCUCGGCUUGUUCUUUCUUGAGUGUCAAGGAGGUGGAAGCAUCAUAACAGUACCAGUCUGAGGUACGUGUGCAUGUGCUAAUUCAUUUAUAUGCUUUCAUGAGCAGUGAGGGGUGUAAUAUAUUUGAAAAGAGCACAGGUCAAAUGUGGAAUAGGAGUCAACAAAAGCUGUUGACAUUGGCAGAUGAAGAGGGAAGCAGUGUUUUCAGCAUGUGCUGAUGUGCGGAGAUCCUCCUUAAGUGUACUUAUUGAUCUCACAAGUUUUGAAAGCUGCACACGGUUUUUAGCAUAUGGCACUUUGGGUCAGAGGAAUGUGUGCUCCCAGCUUUGUUCAGUUACAUUCAGUUCAGUUGUUCUACUACAUAUAUUUGCUUUCUGUGCUUUCCUCCAGAUCACUUGUAUAUAUUAAUGAAAUACUCGGUUUCUUGUUACAGAAUAUCUACUCCAGUCUGUUCAGGACAUGGAAGUUGCAC
This 3045-nucleotide long non-coding RNA is filed under the name Gallus gallus (chicken). Lineage: Eukaryota; Metazoa; Chordata; Aves; Galliformes; Phasianidae. The record is from RNAcentral.